CCAGAAUUUGCAAAAACAGAAAGAUAUGCAUUCACAUAUUUUCUUCAAGUUUGUAAAAUUACUUUUUAGUACAAACAUGGCAAAUUUUCCCAAAGAACUAUUAUACUCCUAACCAGUUCAUCCUGGAUGUUUCUGUCACAGUCGAUUCAGACACCUUGUUAAUGUCUGGAAUGAAUAGAGCAAAAAAUACAAAAAAAUGCAGGAAACAGAUUACAACUAAAAAAAAUGCAGGAUAAAUUUUUCAUACCCUCCCCCUCCC
RNAcentral lists this long non-coding RNA (259 nucleotides) under Mytilus galloprovincialis (Mediterranean mussel). The record is from RNAcentral. Lineage: Eukaryota; Metazoa; Mollusca; Bivalvia; Mytilida; Mytilidae.